GUUCUUUCUUUUAUUAAUGUAUUUGUCUCACAUUGAUUUGCAGAUGUUGAACCAACCUUGCAGCCCAGGAAUAAAUCCCACUUGGUCAUGGUGAAUAAUCCUUUUAAUGAACUGUUGGAUCCCAUUGGCUAGUAUUUUGCAAAGUGAAAGAAAGAAUAACAUACAGCUAUAUAUACAUCAACAUGGAUAGAUCUGAUAGAUAUAAUGUUGGCCAAAAGAAGACAGACAAAAGUACUUAUUGAAUGAUCUCAUUUAUAUCAAGGUCAAGAACAAUCGAAGCUCAUUUGUGGUGACAGGUGAGAACAAGCAGUUAACCUUU
RNAcentral lists this long non-coding RNA (319 nucleotides) under Mustela putorius furo (domestic ferret). RNAcentral describes it as "lncRNA (ENSMPUG00000027340.1)". The record is from RNAcentral. Lineage: Eukaryota; Metazoa; Chordata; Mammalia; Carnivora; Mustelidae.